RNAcentral lists this ribosomal RNA (379 nucleotides) under uncultured eukaryote. Its description in RNAcentral is "partial 18S ribosomal RNA". It matches the Rfam family "Eukaryotic small subunit ribosomal RNA", at positions 592 to 976 of the family's 1831-position model. The record is from RNAcentral.
CAAUAGCGUAUAUUUAAGUUGUUGCAGUUAAAAAGCUCGUAGUUGGAUUUCGGAUGGGACUUGCCGGUCCGUCGUUUCGAUGUGCACUGGCCAGUCCUAUCUUGUUGUCGGGGACUAGCUCCUGGGCUUCACUGUCCGGGACUAGGAGCUGACGAGGUUACUUUGAGUAAAUUAGAGUGUUCAAAGCAAGCCUACGCUCUGAAUACAUUAGCAUGGAAUAACACGAUAGGACUCUGGCUUAUCUUGUUGGUCUGUGAGACCAGAGUAAUGAUUAAGAGGGACAGUCGGGGGCAUUCGUAUUUCAUUGUCAGAGGUGAAAUUCUUGGAUUUAUGAAAGACGGACUUCUGCGAAAGCAUUUGUCAAGGAUGUUUUCAUUAA